RNAcentral lists this ribosomal RNA (431 nucleotides) under uncultured bacterium. RNAcentral's name for it is "partial 16S ribosomal RNA". It matches the Rfam family "Bacterial small subunit ribosomal RNA", at positions 29 to 507 of the family's 1533-position model. The record is from RNAcentral.
AACGAACGCUGGCGGCAGGCUUAACACAUGCAAGUCGAGCGCCCCGCAAGGGUGGCGGCAGACGGGUGAGUUACGCCUGGGAAAGUACCCUUAUCUUCUGGGUACCACCGUGAAACUGGAAUUAUUACCGAAUGUGCCCUUUGUGUGAAAGAUCUAUCGGUUAUGGAUCGGCUCGCGUUUGAUUAGCUAGUUGGCGUGGUAAAGGCCUACCAAAGCGACGAUCGAUAGCUGGUCUGAGAGGAUGAUCAGCCACAGUGGGACUGAGACACGGCCCAAACUCCUACGGGAGGCAGCAGUGGGGAAUAUUGGACGAUGAGCGCAAGCCUGAUCCAGCCAUGCCGCGUGAGUGAUGAAGGUCGUAGGGUUGUAAAGCUCUUUCACCGGAGAAGAUAAUGACGGUACCCGGAGAAGAAGCCCCGGCUAACUUCGUG